Molecule: ribosomal RNA, 1390 nt
Filed under: uncultured bacterium
Lineage: Bacteria
Description: 16S ribosomal RNA
Rfam family: Bacterial small subunit ribosomal RNA
Source: RNAcentral
CCUGGCUCAGGAUGAACGCUAGCUACAGGCUUAACACAUGCAAGUCGAGGGGCAGCGGGAUCGAAGCUUGCUUCAAUUGCCGGCGACCGGCGCACGGGUGAGUAACGCGUAUCCAACCUUCCGCUUACUCGGGGAUAGCCUUUCGAAAGAAAGAUUAAUACCCGAUGGUAUCUUAAGCACGCAUGAGAUUAAGAUUAAAGAUUUAUCGGUAAGCGAUGGGGAUGCGUUCCAUUAGGCAGUUGGCGGGGUAACGGCCCACCAAACCUACGAUGGAUAGGGGUUCUGAGAGGAAGGUCCCCCACAUUGGAACUGAGACACGGUCCAAACUCCUACGGGAGGCAGCAGUGAGGAAUAUUGGUCAAUGGGCGAGAGCCUGUACCACCCAAGUAGCGUGAAGGAUGACGGGCCUACGGGUUGUAAACUUCUUUUGUGCGGGAAUAAAGGAGCCUACGUGUACGCUUUUGCAUGUACCGUAACGAAUAAGCAUCGGCUAACUCCGUGCCAGCAGACCGCGGUAAUACGGAGGAUGCGAGCGUUAUCCGGAUCUAUAGGGUUUAAAGGGAGCGUACACGGGUUCUUAAGUCAGCUGUGAAAGUUUGGGGCUCAACCUCAAAAUUGCAGUCGACACUGUAGACCUUGAGUACGGUUGAUGCACGCGGAAUUCGUGGUGUAGCGGUGAAAUGCUUAGAUAUCACGAAGAACCCCGAUUGCGAAGGCAGCCUGCUAAGCCGCCACUGACGUUGAGGCUCGAAAGUGCGGGUAUCAAACAGGAUUAGAUACCCUGGUAGUCCGCACGGUAAACGAUGGAUACUCGCUGUUGGCGAUAGACGGUCAGCGGCCAAGCGAAAGCGUUAAGUAUCCCACCUGGGGAGUACGCCGGCAACGGUGAAACUCAAAGGAAUUGACGGGGGCCCGCACAAGCGGAGGAACAUGUGGUUUAAUUCGAUGAUACGCGAGGAACCUUACCCGGGCUUGAAGUGCAGUGGAAUUAUCCGGAAACGGAUAAGCGAGCAAUCGCCGCUGUGGAGGUGCUGCAUGGUUGUCGUCAGCUCGUGCCGUGAGGUGUCGGCUUAAGUGCCAUAACGAGCGCAACCCUUGCUGCCAGUUACUAACAGGUUAUGCUGAGGACUCUGGCAGGACUGCCAUCGUAAGAUGCGAGGAAGGUGGGGAUGACGUCAAAUCAGCACGGCCCUUACGUCCGGGGCUACACACGUGUUACAAUGGGGAGUACAGAGGGCAGCUACCGGGCGACCGGAUGCGAAUCCCGAAAGCUCCUCUCAGUUCGGACUGGAGUCUGCAACCCGACUCCACGAAGCUGGAUUCGCUAGUAAUCGCGCAUCAGCCACGGCGCGGUGAAUACGUUCCCGGGCCCUGUACACACCGCCCGUCA